CUCAGAACGAACGCUGGCGGCAUGCCUAACACAUGCAAGUCGAACGAGACCUUCGGGUCUAGUGGCGCACGGGUGCGUAACGCGUGGGAAUCUGCCCUUAGGUUCGGAAUAACUUCGGGAAACUGAAGCUAAUACCGGAUGAUGACGUAAGUCCAAAGAUUUAUCGCCUAAGGAUGAGCCCGCGUUGGAUUAGCUAGUUGGUGAGGUAAAGGCUCACCAAGGCGACGAUCCAUAGCUGGUCUGAGAGGAUGAUCAGCCACACUGGGACUGAGACACGGCCCAGACUCCUACGGGAGGCAGCAGUGGGGAAUAUUGGACAAUGGGCGAAAGCCUGAUCCAGCAAUGCCGCGUGAGUGAUGAAGGCCUUAGGGUUGUAAAGCUCUUUUACCCGGGAUGAUAAUGACAGUACCGGGAGAAUAAGCUCCGGCUAACUCCGUG
Molecule: ribosomal RNA, 438 nt
Filed under: uncultured bacterium
Lineage: Bacteria
Description: bacterial SSU rRNA
Rfam family: Bacterial small subunit ribosomal RNA
Source: RNAcentral